Molecule: long non-coding RNA, 2484 nt
Organism: Aethalodelphis obliquidens (Pacific white-sided dolphin)
Lineage: Eukaryota; Metazoa; Chordata; Mammalia; Artiodactyla; Delphinidae
Exons: 11
Source: RefSeq, a predicted model, not a curated record
CAGCCCCAGAGUUCCCAGCGCGCGGUCAUUGACCUAAGAGUCGCGGCAGCUCCUUGUCGUCGAGUCCCCGGGCGUGAGGGAGAGGAAGCGCUGGACGGGCGGCGGGACUCGGCCUCGGUGAGGAGGAAGAGGGCCGGCCUGGGGCGUGAAGGGAGGGUCCAGAGGACAUUACCCAUCAACAUGACUAUGAGAAGUAAUUUGUGAAGUGAGUUCCAGCACCCUUGAAGAGAUCUGCAAUUGCUCCUCUCUGUAUUCAGAUGUAUCUUACAAUGGAACCUGUUAUCAAACUGAGAUUCUUAAAUGCAGUGGUGAUGAUGGGAUCUCAGGGUGGCAGGUGCAGAUAUAAGGAGAAGUUAGCAGUCUACAAAUCAGAAAACUUUCCUUACCAGAACUCAACCAUACUGGCACCCUGCUCUUGAACUUCCAGUCUCCAGAACUUUUAUGAAGCACUGCUGUAUACAUCAUUCUACUGAAUGAAGACCUGAAUGCCUCAGACACUUGUAGCACCAAGCUUCAUGAUCUUUAAGGUCUUGGAUCAACUGGUAUUGUGAAAAGAAAAUAAGCUGGUAAUCUCCCUCUCGCCGAGGUAGUGAAGACGCCGCUGUCCGCUCCACCGGGUGGCGGGGGGUGACGCCCGGACCUCGCUUCACACAGCUUGAGACCAAAGAGUCACUGUGAGGGAACAUGGAACUGAGGUUGCCUGCAGUUGCAUAGAGGGACCCAACGUAUGGCUGGAUGCUGAGAAACAGAAUGCUCCUGUGAAGAAAAGUGGCUGGCGGAUAGUGGGUCAUUAAUCACCAGACGUUGAGCCCGUGCCCCCUCUUCAGGCCACUAUCGACGAGGCCUGUGAGGGUCAAACAGUGUGCCUUUCAGAUGCGUGAAGACCCUAGGAACCAAGGCGUGAUGGAUGUGUCUGGUGGAGAAGAGACCAUUACAAGCCACUCGUUGUUUAAGAACUCUCUCCUGUCCCAUUUGCCACCAAAAGUUAUUUCCUCUGUGUUGGUGGUCUCUCUGACUGGAUGAAUACGUCGGGGUAUCAUUAACUUCAGGGAGCUUCUCUCCCCAGGACUACAUCUAAAAACUUUGUCUCUUCAAGUCCUGGAUCAAUAAAAAAAGAAGGAAAAAAGUCAUCACACUAUGAGAUUCUUUGCUUCUUCAAGAAGGUUAACAGCUGAGUGUGGCUUUCACUACCAACCUGUGAUUCGGAAUUCAUUUGAUAUUAGUAUGAGCACUGUUCUAGUCACAAUAUAAGACCCACACUCCUUCCCACAGGAGCUUGAAAUCCAGUAAAGAAAGAAAUGUGAUGAAGAUUUUUGUUAACCAUAACGAACUGAAAUCAAAAGGAGGUUCUUGCUGAUUUCCGCUAAGAGAAUGUAGAAACCUAGGGAAGCCUUCUCAAAAAGGUAGCAGAUGUAACUGGGACUAUCUGAUGGCUGAUCCAAGGACCUCCGCCAAGCAGAGGGGAGUCAUAAAUGUGUCUACUUGGAAUCACAUACGGGAAGUUCCAGAACAUUCAUGCAGCUUUUCAGGUCUUCACCCCCACCGUCAGUUUACACCAGCUGCUUCUCAUCACCUAGCCCUGGGGUCCUUCCCAUGAAGUUCGGUCCAACAGAGAAGCCAGCACCCAAAGGAAGUCCAUGCACACACUGAGCAGAGGACAAAAGCCGAGACUUGAAGAGAGUGGUAUUUUCUCCAGAGACACCAGAUAGGAAUAUAAGUUGAAUGUCCCACAUGUGGUCCACUCAUCCACGCUGGCUUUGAACCACACUCAUUCCACGCUGAGCUCUUGUUUCCUAAAGCGCAUUCUAUGGUCUUCCAGUGCAGACAUAUGGCACGCACUUCUGGCUGUUCUACAGAGCCUUCUGGUCCAGGGCUGACUGAAUAUGUCUGUAGGCUAGAGGUCUGACAUGGGCUCCACUGGGCUAAAAUCAAAGUGUCGGCAGGGACGCGUUCCUCUCUGGAGGCUCUAGGGGAGAAUCUGUUCCCUCGCCUUUUCUAGCUUCCAGAGGCCGCCCACGUUCUUUGGCUUGUGGCUCCUUCCCGAACCUGCAGUAACUUUCUUCCUGUAUAUGCUGUAAGUAACCAACGCCAGCCAUGUUGCAUCUGUCUCUGAUUGUACCUCACAUUUCCCUCUGACUGACCCUCUCCCAAGCCCCUCUUCCACUUUAAGGACACUUGUGAUUAUGUUGGGCCCACCUGCAGAACCCAGACUCCUCUCCCUGUUUCAGGGUCAGUGGAUUAGUCCCUUAAGUCCACCUGCAACCUUAUUCUCCUUUGCCAUUUAACCCAACAUAUUUACAGGUUCUGGGGAUUGGGAUGGAUUCUCCCUACACACAUUAGAUACACAUGUAAAUACACAUUAAAUAUACCGUUUAAUAUUUUUGUGACAGUAUAAUAAUUGUCAUUCAGUUGCCUUAAUCUACAGAAUUUAUCUUUUUGACCUAUCUAAAACAUAUUAAACUGGCCAGAUGCAAUAGUAAAAAA